This 83-nucleotide transfer RNA is filed under the name Venturia inaequalis. It matches the Rfam family "tRNA". From Rfam's summary of the family: Transfer RNA (tRNA) molecules are approximately 80 nucleotides in length. Lineage: Eukaryota; Fungi; Ascomycota; Dothideomycetes; Venturiales; Venturiaceae. The record is from Rfam by way of RNAcentral.
GGUCUUCUGGCCCAAUGGCAAGGCGCUUGACUACGACUAAACAGCCGAUCAAGAGAUUGCAGGUUCGAUCCCUGCGGAGAUCA